GCGGGGUGGGAUCGAGGGACGAACCUGGCCAGGAGGGCCCUGCGGCCUCCGUUCUCGGUCUUGCCUGGCGCGCGCCGUUAAACACAGAGCGGAGCAAAGAUGGAAGGAAAUGGUAGCCGAGCACUGGGCGAGGGCAGAGGAUUGCUUGGGCUGCUAUUCUGAAAUGAGACAGAAGAGGAUCAAGGCCCAAUGCAGGAAGACCCUCUAGGAGGCUACUCCGUGAUCCAGGGCACCUAGAACAAAAUUGAACUUUUCUGACGUUAGGCUGCCUCCUCACAACUUGAUGAUGCCCUCAGGCUCUAGUGAGGAAUAUCUGCACACAUGGUUUGUUCUGAUACAGACGUAUCCAACCUCUUCAUUCCAAACUACUGUCUCAAAAAGAGAAUGUGGCAAGUGUGUGUAACUGAGUAGCACAUAGAAGGAAGAAGAAGGCAACCAUGGCUGAAAGUGACCCCACUCAAUCUCAUUCAUGGACAGAGUGCAGUCUACUAGAUUGCUGCUGGUUGAGUGUCAACCAUAUCCUAAUCUUACAUCUCUGAAACUGCAUCUUAACUGUCCUGAUUAGACCUGGGUACCUCCCAAGUCCUCUCCCAGGCACGUAUUUACAGAUCAUCAAUACUGUGUUAGCAAAUAGAAGGUUCUGGAUGGGAACCUUGUAGCAUCCCCUUGUGCUAAUGCUUGUUAACUGUCACUGGCAGCCUGAAGAGCCAUCUUGAGAAGGAUUCUGAGGCUGUGAGCAGAGGUAGAGUCUUGCAUACCCUCAUAGUAUAUAAACAAUACAUGUUUACUAAGUUGAACUGAAUCUAAUAUGUUCUAGUUUCACUCUCAGAAAGAGAUAUUAUCUAUAAGUUCUGAAGUUUCCUUGCCACUUCCCAACACGUGGUCACCUCUCAGUCCUUAACAUGCUUGACCACUCUGGCUUUUGAUCAUGUUAAUUAUUACUUCUCAUAGCAUUCUCCUCUCUUGACUUUCUCUUGAGUUCACCUACCUCUUAGCUCUUUCUUUUUCUUCUCUGUGGACUCCUUUUCUACCAUUUAUAUUUUGAAUAUCCCCUGGGUGCUACCUUGGUCUGCUUCUCUCCUCCUUCUUACCCAGAUCUGAAUGGACUCAUCCAUGCCAUGGCUUCCAGUCCUGGCCUAAUUUCUUUCCAGAGCUCUAGACUCGUAAAUGUAGCUGCCCAUUUGACAUCUCACCUCUGAUGUCCUUCCACCAUUUCAACCCCAAUGGCCAAAUCUGAGCUUCUGUUCACCAUGGAAUCAAUUCACUAGGUUACAACCAGCAUGAAAAGAAUACAGUAGAAAGGAACUGAUGUGAAAAUAUCAGGAGACAUCAUUUGUAAUAAAGUAUUGAACUGUUUGGAGAAAUUUUUGCAUGUAGGCACUUGGUUGUGAUAUAUAAUGUUUUCCUGCAGCAGAUCAUAGUAAAAAAAAAAAAAAAAAUCCUUUCCAUUUCCUCUCCUAACUCUAACAAAAGCUAUUGAUGAACUCCUAUUCAUCCCUUCAAAUCUGGAUUGAGUGUCCCCUCCUCUGAAAGACUUCCCUUACUUCUUUGGGGACAGGCAGUUACUGUUUCAUCUUUCCCUUGCACAAGAUUUUGUUCUUGUUUUUUUAUGACUCAUAUAGAGUUAACCUGUCUCUCUCGUAGACCAUGAGCUCCUUGAGAGAAGGAUCAAGCAAGCUCUUCUUUGCUUCUCUGGUGCCUGGUAUAAGUAAUACGUGUUGGUUGAGGUGAACUGACUACUAAGCAUCUAAUAAUAAAAACUUGUUUCUGAGGCGUCUAAAGAAAGCACAAUAUUUUUUCAUUUAAAUGUGGUCUUACAGUUUACAGAAAUGUAUAUCAGUGACCUCUGAUACUUUUCCAAAUCGGAGAAACCAGAAGCUCAACGUCCAGAGCUAAAUUUGGCUAAGCAGUACUGCUUACAACUUGAAUCAUUUUGAACAAGUUACUUAAUUUUUCUGAGCCUUAGCAUACUAUUUUUUUAUGCCAUAUCGCUGCUCAAGAAUUUCCCGGGGAGAGACCUUCAAGAUGGCGGAGGAGUAAGACAUGGAGAUCACCUUCCUCCCCACAAAUACAUCAGAAAUACAUCUACAUGCGGAACAGCUCCUACAGAACACCUACGGAACGCUGGCAGAAGACCUCAGACCUGACCACCUAGAGGGGUGGGAUAGGGAGGGUGGGAGGGAGGGAGACACAAGAGGGAAGAGAUAUGGGAACAUAUGUAUAUGUGUAACUGAUUCACUUUGUUAUAAAGCAGAAACUAACACACCAUUGUAAAGCAAUUAUACUCCAAUAAAGAUGUUAAAAAAAAAAAAAA
Molecule: long non-coding RNA, 2314 nt
Organism: Orcinus orca (killer whale)
Lineage: Eukaryota; Metazoa; Chordata; Mammalia; Artiodactyla; Delphinidae
Exons: 5
Source: RefSeq, a predicted model, not a curated record